RNAcentral lists this transfer RNA (73 nucleotides) under Stegodyphus mimosarum. It matches the Rfam family "tRNA". From Rfam's summary of the family: Transfer RNA (tRNA) molecules are approximately 80 nucleotides in length. Their secondary structure includes four short double-helical elements and three loops (D, anti-codon, and T loops). The record is from Rfam by way of RNAcentral. Lineage: Eukaryota; Metazoa; Arthropoda; Arachnida; Araneae; Eresidae.
GCCUUCGUGGUGUAGUGGUCAGCACACUCAGCGCGUAUUCGAGAGGUCCGUGGUUCGAAUCCCUGCGAGGGCG